Molecule: long non-coding RNA, 1279 nt
Organism: Pygocentrus nattereri (red-bellied piranha)
Lineage: Eukaryota; Metazoa; Chordata; Actinopteri; Characiformes; Serrasalmidae
Exons: 2
Source: RefSeq, a predicted model, not a curated record
AUCAGGAAGAACCAAUUACUUUAAGUGAGCCGAAGUCGACAACUACCCUUUCUCAAGAGCAGAAUGAUACUGUAGUAUCAGAAGUUGUUCCAACUGAAAAAACUGAUAAUGAAACCCCAUUGCUGGAUCUAUCUGAUUUGCCAGUCAUUCCUAACACUGACACAUCCUAUCCUACAGUUACUCACCCCUGUCCUGAGUUAAGUCCUGUAGAAGGUCCAGAUAGUGUUAGUGAGCCAGAUCAUGACGCCUUGCGUAGAUCUGAACGUCAGAGAAGAGCACCCGGAAGGUUUACUUAUCCUCAAUUAGGCAAACCAUUUAUUUCUUUUGCUCAGACUAUCCUUGAGGCUUUCAACAAUGCUUUAGUUGAAACGUUUGAGGGUAAUCCUCUCCCACGUGAAAAUGUCAUGAAGGGACUCAUGCCAGUUUAGAGAGGGAGGGUGUAACCCAGUUGACAAAUGCAUAAUAAAAAGGUACAAUAAUUAGUGAUAAAAAGCAUAAAUAGUAAAAUGGGAUAAUAAAUAGUGAUAAUCCUAGUGAAUCAAUUCAUGAAUGAUGGGUUGUUAUUGUUAAAAACACGAUUUGAAUGUAUUUGAUAUAGCAGUACUUUUACUGUGACAGUUACGAUCUGGUUCUUUUAUUUUGACAUGCUGUUUAGCAAGCAUUCGGUUUCUGAUGGAGCCAUUCAGUCUGUUGAGCGGAUGAGAGCCAGAGAGUUGGAAACUCCACGUUUUCAGAGCUAGAAACAAUUGAAAGAAACUAAUUCUAAGUUGUUUACGAAGUUUAAGUUUCCUUUGGAGUACUGAGCGACCAGCUCUGUAAAUGCUGUAUGUUUGAAGACCAGAAGCUUUGUUUCGUCGAGUAUUUCUUUUGUUUGAAUCGUCUCGGUCAAGUUUUUGAGCUGGAUCUGGAUUUCGCUGAGGAUUCGUGGACUACAUUAGAUGGCGAGCCACCCACCCAUUCGAAUGUGAUCCUGUUCUAUGUCGUUGCACAUGGCAUAUCUGGUAGGAUUGUGGCCUGCUCGUGUCACAUCACUGACUAUGACUGACUUGACUUAUUGACUUGAAUUAACACUUUACGAACUGAACCAAGGAAUAACGCCUUGAACUGAACUCCUGGAAAGGAACUCUCUAAACUUUUCUCUUUGAGGAUUUAAAGGACUAUUUCCCAAGUUUUGAAAGACAAUUCAUUUUUAUUUUAUUUUAAAGGGUCCGAUCUUUUAUUUCGGGUAAUUGUAAAUAUUUCAACCUUUCAAUUUAUUACUAAAAGAAAGAAAAACUUA